UCGCGGCUUAUCACCGGCAGUCCCCUUAGAGUGCCCAACUGAAUGAUGGCAACUAAGGGCGAGGGUUGCGCUCGUUGCGGGACUUAACCCAACAUCUCACGACACGAGCUGACGACAGCCAUGCAGCACCUGUCUUGGGACUCCGAAGAGGGACCGUGGUUUCUCACGGCUUUCCCCAAGAUGUCAAGCCCAGGUAAGGUGGGGAUGACGUGUGGAAUGUCGAUA
Molecule: unclassified non-coding RNA, 225 nt
Filed under: uncultured bacterium
Lineage: Bacteria
Description: contains 16S-23S intergenic spacer region
Source: RNAcentral